Molecule: ribosomal RNA, 468 nt
Filed under: uncultured bacterium
Lineage: Bacteria
Description: partial 16S ribosomal RNA
Rfam family: Bacterial small subunit ribosomal RNA
Source: RNAcentral
GACGAACGCUGGCGGCGUGCUUAACACAUGCAAGUCGAACGGAAAGGCCCUGCUUUUGUGGGGUGCUCGAGUGGCGAACGGGUGAGUAACACGUGAGUAACCUGCCCUUGACUUUGGGAUAACUUCAGGUAACUGGGGCUAAUACCGGAUAGGAGCUCCUGCUGCAUGGUGGGGGUUGGAAAGUUUAGGCGGGUGGGGAUGGACUCGCGGCUUAUCAGCUUGUUGGUGGGGUAGUGGCUUACCAAGGCUUUGGCGGGUAGCCGGCCUGAGAGGGUGACCGGCCACAUUGGGACUGAGAUACGGCCCAGACUCCUACGGGAGGCAGCAGUGGGGAAUAUUGCACAAUGGGCGGAAGCCUGAUGCAGCAACGCCGCGUGCGGGAUGACGGCCUUCGGGUUGUAAACCGCUUUCGCCUGUGACGAAGCGUGAGUGACGGUAAUGGGUAAAGAAGCACCGGCUAACUACGUG